UAGACGGAAGCCUGGUGGAUAGGGCAUCUAGCUGUUAACUAGAAGUUUGUGGGAUCGAGGCCCACUCGUUUAG
This 73-nucleotide transfer RNA is filed under the name Eubucco bourcierii (red-headed barbet). RNAcentral describes it as "tRNA-Asn". It matches the Rfam family "tRNA". Rfam says of the family: Transfer RNA (tRNA) molecules are approximately 80 nucleotides in length. Their secondary structure includes four short double-helical elements and three loops (D, anti-codon, and T loops). The record is from RNAcentral. RNAcentral also lists the same sequence under 1 other name. Lineage: Eukaryota; Metazoa; Chordata; Aves; Piciformes; Ramphastidae.